This 107-nucleotide small nuclear RNA is filed under the name Aotus nancymaae (Ma's night monkey). The record is from RNAcentral. Lineage: Eukaryota; Metazoa; Chordata; Mammalia; Primates; Aotidae.
GUGCUCACUUCAGCAGCACAUGUACUAAAAUUGGAAUGUUACAGAGAAGAUUAGCAUGGCCCCUGUGCAAGGAUGACACACAAAUUUAUGAAGUGUUACAUAUUUUU